RNAcentral lists this ribosomal RNA (329 nucleotides) under uncultured eukaryote. RNAcentral's name for it is "partial 18S ribosomal RNA". It matches the Rfam family "Eukaryotic small subunit ribosomal RNA", at positions 1470 to 1796 of the family's 1831-position model. The record is from RNAcentral.
CCCUUAGAUGUUCUGGGCCGCACGCGCGCUACACUGACGAUGGCAACGAGUUUUUCCCUCGCCGAAAGGUGUGGGUAAUCUUUUGAAACAUCGUCGUGCUGGGGAUAGAUCAUUGCAAUUUUUGAUCUUGAACGAGGAAUUCCUAGUAAGCGCGAGUCAUCAGCUCGCGUUGAUUACGUCCCUGCCCUUUGUACACACCGCCCGUCGCUACUACCGAUUGAAUGGUUUAGUGAGGACUCCUGAUUGGCGCCGCCGCCCCGGCAACGGAGCAGCGGACUGCCGAAAAGUUGUUCAAACUUGAUCAUUUAGAGGAAGUAAAAGUCGUAACA